This 65-nucleotide transfer RNA is filed under the name Sergia lucens. RNAcentral describes it as "tRNA-Leu". Lineage: Eukaryota; Metazoa; Arthropoda; Malacostraca; Decapoda; Sergestidae. The record is from RNAcentral. RNAcentral also lists the same sequence under 1 other name.
UUUAGAGUGGCAGAUAGAUGCAUAGGAUUUAAGCUCCUAUUAGGAAGAAUUAUCUUCCUCUAAAA